Molecule: long non-coding RNA, 599 nt
Filed under: Amborella trichopoda
Lineage: Eukaryota; Viridiplantae; Streptophyta; Magnoliopsida; Amborellales; Amborellaceae
Description: long non-coding RNA (ATRI_LNC003473)
Source: RNAcentral
GUAACUACCUGCCCUGGCUGAGGGUGGGGAAGGUGCAUUUGGGGCCGAGGCUGGGCUUGAGGGUGUGCGUGAGGUUGUGGAUAUUGCAUAUGAGGAUGAGAAUGAGGAUGAGGUUGAGGUUGAGGUUGAGGUUGAGGUUGUGCAUGAAGAUGUGGUUGUGCGUGGGGUGGGGGUUGCGCAUGAACAGGUGGCUGCAUAUGAGGUUGGGGAUGGAGUUGAGGUUGUGGUUGAGGGUGAGGCUGCAUAUGGGGUUGCGCAUGGGGGUGAGGCUGGGCUUGUGGAUGGGUAUGAGGUUGAGCGAUGGCAUUUGGGUGAGGCUGUUGUUGAGCUGGUAAUUGUUGGGGCUGGGCUUGUGGUUGCAUUGGAAUAGGUUGUUGAACUGGACCAUGCAUUUGGGUUUGAGGCUGAGGGUGAGGUUGAACAUAGGCCUGAGCUUGUGCUGGAUAUUGGGGUUGGACAUGAGGUUGUGGUCCUUGUGGUUGGGGUUGUAAGGCCUGUGGCUGAGCUUGUGGACCUUGUGGUUGAGGUUGUGUGCCUUGUGGGUGUGGCUGCAACUGGUGUUGUUGGAAUUGUUGAAGAGCAUGCUGUUGAUAUUGUUC